Molecule: ribosomal RNA, 234 nt
Filed under: uncultured bacterium
Lineage: Bacteria
Description: partial 16S ribosomal RNA
Rfam family: Bacterial small subunit ribosomal RNA
Source: RNAcentral
UGGCGGACGGGUGAGUAAUGUCUGGGAAACUGCCCGAUGGAGGGGGAUAACUACUGGAAACGGUAGCUAAUACCGCAUAACGUCGCAAGACCAAGAGGGGGACCUUCGGGCCUCUUGCCAUCGGAUGUGCCCAGAUGGGAUUAGCUAGUAGGUGGGGUAACGGCUCACCUAGGCGACGAUCCCUAGCUGGUCUGAGAGGAUGACCAGCCACACUGGAACUGAGACACGGUCCAG